CUAAUUUAGUGACUUGUAUGUUUUAUGAGAAAACCACAAAAGGAGGAAUCUUUAGAGCAAAACAAAAAUUAAUAGGAAAGUUUAAAAAUGUAGCGCUAUGCUUAAAAUGUCCUCUCGAUGUGAAGUAAGAAUUGGAAAUCUACAUGAGUAAUAAGAAAGCACAAACAAUGGAAUCAUAUGGCUCACUACCUAAUUUAGUGAUGAGCCAAUUAGAGAUGAUGUGGAUGAAAUUGAAGAUGAAAUGCGUCCUGAAUUGAAUGUUAGUGGUAAAAGGGUGGGAAUGGAAAAGAAUAGAAUAAAAGUAGCUAGUGGCAAUAAGAAGGCAAAAUCAAUGGGAAAGGGUCCAAUGGAUUUAUAUUUGAUUCAAAAACUAAAUAAAGUAGUUCAAUAACAUAAAAAAAGAGGGAAGCUUAGACAAACAAGCAUGAAUGAUGCAUGUGACAAAGAAGCAAGAGCUAGAAUAAUUCAGUAUAUUGCUCAAUUUUUUUACCAAGCAAGUAUACCAUUGAAUGCUACUCGUUUAGACUCCUUUAAGUGGAUGAUUAAAGCUAUUGGCAGGUAUGGACCAAAUUUAAAACCUCCAAGCUAU
RNAcentral lists this unclassified non-coding RNA (589 nucleotides) under Hevea brasiliensis (rubber tree). Lineage: Eukaryota; Viridiplantae; Streptophyta; Magnoliopsida; Malpighiales; Euphorbiaceae. The record is from RNAcentral.